Molecule: ribosomal RNA, 489 nt
Filed under: uncultured bacterium
Lineage: Bacteria
Description: bacterial SSU rRNA
Rfam family: Bacterial small subunit ribosomal RNA
Source: RNAcentral
AUUGAACGCUGGCGGCAUGCUUUACACAUGCAAGUCGAACGGCAGCACAGGGAGCUUGCUCCCGGGUGGCGAGUGGCGCACGGGUGAGUAAUACAUCGGAACGUGUCCUGUUGUGGGGGGAUAACUGCUCGAAAGGGUGGCUAAUACCGCAUGAGACCUGAGGGUGAAAGCGGGGGAUCGCAAGACCUCGCGCAAUUGGAGCGGCCGAUGCCCGAUUAGCUAGUUGGUGAGGUAAAGGCUCACCAAGGCGACGAUCGGUAGCUGGUCUGAGAGGACGACCAGCCACACUGGGACUGAGACACGGCCCAGACUCCUACGGGAGGCAGCAGUGGGGAAUUUUGGACAAUGGGGGCAACCCUGAUCCAGCCAUGCCGCGUGCAGGAUGAAGGCCUUCGGGUUGUAAACUGCUUUUGUCAGGGACGAAAAGGACCGUGUUAAUACCAUGGUCUGCUGACGGUACCUGAAGAAUAAGCACCGGCUAACUACGUG